Small nuclear RNA from Pteropus vampyrus (large flying fox), 104 nucleotides. Lineage: Eukaryota; Metazoa; Chordata; Mammalia; Chiroptera; Pteropodidae. The record is from Ensembl.
GUGCUCGCUUCAGCAGCACAUACAUGAAAAUUGGAACGAAGCAGAGGUCAGCAUGGCCUCUGCGCAAGAAUGGCAGGCAAAUUCAUGAAGCGCUGUAUAUUUUA